GGUUGGUAUUGGUUCCCUGAUAUUUGUCCUAAAAUUUUUUUGGAUCUAGCACCACUGUUGAAAAAGUUAUGCCCCUUUUUUCAACAAUUUCCUCAGAGGAAAAGUACUUUUCCUCAAGGGAAAUCAAAUUUCCCUGAAGGAAAAAGAUUUUUCCUCAAGGGAAAUUGUUUUUUCCUCAAGGGAAAAAGAUUUCCCUUAGGGAAUUUGCUGCAUAAUUA
Molecule: long non-coding RNA, 218 nt
Filed under: Mytilus galloprovincialis (Mediterranean mussel)
Lineage: Eukaryota; Metazoa; Mollusca; Bivalvia; Mytilida; Mytilidae
Source: RNAcentral